RNAcentral lists this transfer RNA (83 nucleotides) under Lachnospiraceae bacterium. Its description in RNAcentral is "tRNA-Leu". It matches the Rfam family "tRNA". From Rfam's summary of the family: Transfer RNA (tRNA) molecules are approximately 80 nucleotides in length. Lineage: Bacteria; Bacillati; Bacillota; Clostridia; Lachnospirales; Lachnospiraceae. The record is from RNAcentral.
ACAGGUAUGAUGGAAUGGAAGACAUAGUAGAUUCAAAAUUUAUGUUGCGUUAGCAAGUAAGGGUUCAAAUCCCUUUACCUGUA